UUUAAGCGUAGCUAUGAGUUUUUGUUUCCAACUUUGAUCAUCCGUUUUAUUUGAAUUUUUUUUAUGAUUAUUUUUAUAUUGUUAUUAGAUGAUAAACAUGAAUAGUACUUUAUGCGUGAUUUAUAUAUUUUAUUUUUUUCAAAUAAAACUGACGAUUAAAGUUGGAUAAGAAAAACUUACGUGGUUGUGCUUAAA
Non-coding RNA from Oryza nivara, 195 nucleotides. NCBI's taxonomy places the organism in Eukaryota, Viridiplantae, Streptophyta, Magnoliopsida, Poales, Poaceae. The record is from Rfam.